This 284-nucleotide ribosomal RNA is filed under the name uncultured bacterium. RNAcentral's name for it is "partial 16S ribosomal RNA". It matches the Rfam family "Bacterial small subunit ribosomal RNA", at positions 28 to 301 of the family's 1533-position model. The record is from RNAcentral.
GAUGAACGCUAGCGGCAGGCUUAACACAUGCAAGUCGAGGGGCAGCGAGAGAGUUAGCAAUACUUUUGUCGGCGACCGGCGCAAGGGUGCGUAACGCGUGAGCAACAUGCCCGUAAACAGGCGGAUAGACCGUGGAAACGCGGACGUAAACCGCCAUAAGUUAGGAACAGGGCAAUCUGUUUCGAAUGAAAUCUUCGGAGGUUACGGAUUGGCUCGCGAGACAUUAGCCAGUUGGCGGGGUAACGCCCACCAAAGCUACGAUGUCUAGGGGGUUCUGAGAGGAA